Molecule: ribosomal RNA, 403 nt
Filed under: uncultured soil bacterium
Lineage: Bacteria
Description: bacterial SSU rRNA
Rfam family: Bacterial small subunit ribosomal RNA
Source: RNAcentral
AGAACGAACGCUGGCGGCGUGCCUAACACAUGCAAGUCGAACGGAAUUUGAGAGCUUGCUCUUAAAUUUAGUGGCGCACGGGUGAGUAACGCGUAGAUAAUCUGCCUGAUGAUCUGGGAUAACACUUCGAAAGAGGUGCUAAUACCGGAUAAGCCCACGGAGUCUUUGGACUCUGCGGGAAAAGGGGGGGACCUUCGGGCCUUCUGUCAUCAGAUGAGUCUGCGUACCAUUAGCUAGUUGGUAGGUAUGGCCUACCAAGGCUACGAUGGUUAGCUGGUCUGAGAGGAUGAUCAGCCACACUGGAACUGACGACACGGUCCAGACCUCCGUACGGGAGCAGCGAGGUAGGGGUAAUUUGGCGCGAAGUGGACGAAGCCUGACGCAGCACGCCGCGUGAGUGAGU